Molecule: ribosomal RNA, 444 nt
Filed under: uncultured bacterium
Lineage: Bacteria
Description: bacterial SSU rRNA
Rfam family: Bacterial small subunit ribosomal RNA
Source: RNAcentral
GUUCCUACGGGGGGCAGCAGUGAGGAAUAUUGCCCAAUGGACGCAAGUCUGAGGCAGCGACGCCGCGUGGGUGAUGAAGGCCUUCGGGUCGUAAAGCCCUUUUCUGUGUGACGAGCAAGGACGGUAGCACAGGAAAAAGUCUCGGCUAACUACGUGCCAGCAGCCGCGGUAAAACGUAGGAGGCAAGCGUUAUCCGGAGUUACUGGGCGUAAAGCGUGCGUAGGCGGGUCGGUAAGUGGGUGGUGAAAGCGCCGGGCUAAACCGGGCGAGGUCCAUUCAGACUGUCGACCUAGAGGCGGAUAGAGGGGUGCGGAAUUCCGGGUGUAGCGGUGAAAUGUGUAGAGAUCCGGAGGAACACCAGUGGUGCAAACGGCGCCCUGGGUCCGAACUGACGCUGAGGCACGAAAGCGUGGGGAGCGAACGGGAUUAGAUACCCCGGUAGUC